RNAcentral lists this long non-coding RNA (2709 nucleotides) under Pan troglodytes (chimpanzee). Its description in RNAcentral is "long non-coding RNA NONPTRT009527". Lineage: Eukaryota; Metazoa; Chordata; Mammalia; Primates; Hominidae. The record is from RNAcentral.
UGGAUUUUGAGAAGCACCUGCUGGCACUGACAGCUGUCUUGGGGAACACAGGUGCUCCUGCCGGAGUCCUCACGCUCUGUUCACGUUGCAGAAGGCCCCCUGGUAAGGCCAGCCAGCCGGAGGACCACCCCGCAGACCACACGCCCAGGGCCUGGCACCGAGGGGGAGGCCCCGAUCAGCAGGUGAAAGCGACACCCUGAUGACACUGGCUAGUUCACCUUCACUCUGGUCAUCGUUUACUGUACCCCGGGGCAGCUGCUGCCUGAGCCCUAUGACCCCAACCGCCGCAGCCUCUGGCUGCCUCACUGGCCCAUCAUUAAUACGUCGAUGGUGAGCGCACUGGUGUACAGCGAGGGGGCUCCACUUCCGAGACCCCCGGAGAGGCCCGUCCUGGUGGAGUUCACCCUGCUGGAGAUGGAGAAGCGAACCAAGCCUGUCUGUGUGUUCUGGAACCAUUCCCUGGCACCAAGAGCAGUGAUGACCUUCUAGCUGGAAUGGCCAGAGGGGUAACGGUGACUAAUGGUGCUAAAGGGAAGAAAAGCACCUGCCCAUCUGCAGCACCUUCGGCAUCUGCCCCUGCCAUGACCACCGUGGAGAACAAAUCCAAGAUUAGCACAGGAAGUCCCUGUUGCGAGUGAGGACAAAGUGUGGGAAGGCCGUGAGGGUCUGCAGUCCCAGAUGGCCUUGGCCUCACCCCGCAGUGCGCUUUUGCACCAGAGUGCCACCUUCUUCUCCAGGUCCAGGUCUUCAGCAGUGACCCCGGACCCCAGCUGUAAGGGAGGUGGCAGCAUCAGAGGCUCCCCUUGCCUGAGUGGCAGCAGAGGAAACUUGCGUCUAUGGGGCCUAGAGGCCUGGGAUGUGGGGGAGCCAUUCCUGGGGGCAAGUGUCUGCCCUGGUGCUGCAUCUGCUGCCUUUUCACACUGGGUGAGACCCCAAGAGACAGCCUGAGGCCGGUCCUCACUCACUGUCUUUGAGGACCUGAGGGGCAGCUGACAGUGGGAUGAGGCUGGCCCCCUCCUCUUUGGUGAUAGGAAGCCUCCCAUGGAACUGUAGGAGCUCACGAUGGCAUUUUGUUUGGUGCACGAGCUCAUCCAGGAGGUCUGGGAUCUCUGGUUAUAUCCGACUUCUGACCUCUGGGCAUGGAGGUCUCUCUGCAGAGGCCCGGGCCUGGGCACAAAGGGAGAGAGGCCUCCAUUGUCCCACGGGGGCCUAAAUGCAGACUGUGCAUCCCCGGUGCCCUCAGGAACCCUUCUCUGAUCAUCAGGAUUCUCUUGGACUCUGGGGUCCUUGUCCUGCUCAGGCAUCCCUGCCCCCCUCUUCAGGAGGGCCCUCAACACGAUCUUCUCUGGACAGGAGUCUAGGGCAAAACUGGAUGUUGUGGGCCCCAAAGGGGUGACUCCCUGCUCCUAGGCCCCACAGAGAGUCCUUGUGCUCAGUGCGCUGGCUUAGCUGCAAGACAUCCUGGAAUUGGGAGCACGUAGCACCGGCUUGCUGUGGUACCUGUGCAUUCAAAUUGAAGGCAGGAUCGCCAGCAAGGAACACAGGGCUUGCAGGACCACGGAAAACCCUUGGAGUUGUUUUGACACACCACUGAUGCCAAGUGUCUGGGUACUUGUAGGAUGGCCCUGCCAUUCCAUCCAGGGGCAGUGGCAACAGGGAGAUUCCACAAACAAAGUGAACUGGGGGAUGGGAUGAGCAGGCUCCAGGCAACUGAGCCCUACUGGCAGGCCCUUGGCCCCCGGGGCCGGGACAGGGGUGACAGACACAGAGUGCCCAGGUAACCACUCCUGGGAGCAGUGGGGAACCGUCGGAUGCUUCAACUCUUGAGAGCUGGGCUCUAAGCAUCCGCCUUAGCUGCCAACUUGGCCAAAGGCUAUGUGAGCAGUUUCCCCUGUUGACGGGCAAUGCAUCUUUCCAACCUGAGCGAGUGGGUGUGCGUGCAAAGAUGGUGCGAGUCACGGAUCUGCGCGGGAAGGGUGACCUUAAGGGAUUAGCAUGGCCAGGUAUGCACACAAGGCACCUGCUGGCAAUGCCUUGGUGGGGAGCGGGCAGUGCACACAAGAGGUACUGGAGGGAGAGGCGCGCGGGAAGAACAGGCGCGCACAAUGGCUGCAGAUCCACCUGUGGAUCGCUGAAGAUUCCUGCUGAGGGUUGAGGCUGCUGGGCUGGAGGACUGUAUGGUCCAUGCAUUGUAAUGACCCCUUCUCUCCCUGGCCCGGAGCCCCAGGAGCUAUCCGGACUCUCUCCAAGACCUGGUUCUGGCCCAGCAAAGAGGUCUCGGCAGGGGAGCAGGAUUCCCGGCCCAGCAGCUGGCUCAGGAGGUGACAGCUUUGGGAUUCGCAUCUGAGCAUCCUCCUGCUCUUCUCCUGGGAACUCUGUUGGGGAGGGUUGCUCAGAACAGAAGUGCCUGGGACGCCCAGGCAGCUGGGGUGAUGGCCAGGGCAGGCUGGGAGGGACAUACUUUCCAUAGGACCCAGUGCUUUCAUCUCCGUGCAACUGACCAAGAGAAACCAAACCCAAACUCCUUCCUUUACACAGACCAAUUUGAGGGAGGCUGGGUAUUGUUUGUGUAUUUCAACCUAACAAGAUUUUGAGAUAGUUGGAAUGCAGAAGGAGACAGGAGGACUCAAGUGUCCUGUCUUUUGCAAAAAUGUCAAACGUAGCUACUCAGUCUCUUUUUUGUUUUUUUGUUUGUUUUGAAGACUAUGG